CUUCAGAACUGGGCCAGGGGCACUGCUUUGCUUUUGCUGUUUUGAUCAGCUCUCUGCCUGCAGGAGACAAGGAAAACCAAUGGGAACAGAUAGGGUCUCUCUCUCUGCCACCCAGGCCAGAGUGCAGUUGACGAAGGGCAGGGGAGCCCCGAAAUGGAGCAUAGAGUGUCUGGAACUGGUGGGUUCUUGGUCUCACUGACUUCAAGAAUGAAGCCACGGACCCUCGCGACCGUGAGAGAGAGACCGUGAGAGACAGAGACCGUGCCCUGACCUGCUGGAUGGUGGAGAUGCUCGUGGGCUGUGAGCAACAGAUGCAAA
Long non-coding RNA from Pan troglodytes (chimpanzee), 318 nucleotides. RefSeq lists it as uncharacterized. The record is from RefSeq and is a predicted model, not a curated record. NCBI's taxonomy places the organism in Eukaryota, Metazoa, Chordata, Mammalia, Primates, Hominidae. The transcript is spliced from 3 exons.